Molecule: long non-coding RNA, 879 nt
Filed under: Homo sapiens (human)
Lineage: Eukaryota; Metazoa; Chordata; Mammalia; Primates; Hominidae
Description: non-protein coding lnc-ATF7IP2-6:1
Source: RNAcentral
UAUAAAACAGCCCCACCCCUAUCUUCGGACUCAGCCCGCCUGCACCCAGGUGAAAUAAACAGCCUUGUUGAUCACACAAAGCCUGUUUGAUGGUCUCUUCACACUGACGUGAGUGAAAUUUUGGUGCCGUGACUCGGAUCUGGGGAGUCACAAUCCGAGAUCAAUCCCCUGUCCUCCUGCUCUUUGCUCCACCUACGACCUCGGGUCCUCAGACCAACCAGCCCAAGGAACAUCUCACCAGUUUUAAAUCCGGUCCGGGCUUUAGGUAGAUAAGGGAACUUCAGAGAACAACUUCAUCCUGUGUUUUGGGAGACACGGAGGACUGAGCGAUGAGAAGUAGAUUACAGACAUGAGCCACCGCGCCCUGCUGACCUCUUAACUCUUUAGAACAGAGUUCUAAACUUCCUGACUCUGAAGUUAUCUUUCCAUUUCAUCCUCAAAGAUACCCAAAGGACCUUUUAGCAUACUGGUGAUUGAGACAAAAGAAUUUCCAAACCUGGAGACAAAUCCCAACUCUUGCUUCCUGAUUCUCUUUUCUAUACUGUCUUCUCAGGUCAUCCUUUCCCCAUGGCUGCAUAAAAUAGAUUGAAUCAAAUGGAGCCCAUCAUGCUGGCUGCUUCUCUCCGCUGGGGCCAGGAGCAGCCUGACUGCAGAGUCAGCUGAAGACAGACAGCAGUCAGAGUGCUGGCCUUCUCCUUCCAAAAACACAGCCGUUCAAGUUCACAGAGACUGAAGAAUACGAUAAACACAGAUAAACGUGCUUGACGGUGAGUAAUUUUUGUCUGGGUACGGAAAGAAGAAUAACAGGAGAAAAGGCACCAUUUUCUUGGCCUGAACCGCCUCCUCUGGUUUCUUUUUUUCUUUUUCUCUUUUCUUUUU